CACCAGGGGGGUAGGGCCCAAAGGGA
RNAcentral lists this non-coding RNA (26 nucleotides) under Homo sapiens (human). Lineage: Eukaryota; Metazoa; Chordata; Mammalia; Primates; Hominidae. The record is from RNAcentral.